AGAGUUUGAUCCUGGCUCAGGACGAACGCUGGCGGCGUGCCUAAUACAUGCAAGUCGAACGCACUCUCGUUAGAUUGAAGAAGCUUGCUUCUGAUUGAUAACAUUUGAGUGAGUGGCGGACGGGUGAGUAACACGUGGGUAACCUGCCCUAAAGUGGGGGAUAACAUUUGGAAACAGAUGCUAAUACCGCAUAAAACCUAGCACCGCAUGGUGCAAGGUUGAAAGAUGGUUUCGGCUAUCACUUUAGGAUGGACCCGCGGUGCAUUAGUUAGUUGGUGAGGUAAAGGCUCACCAAGACCGUGAUGCAUAGCCGACCUGAGAGGGUAAUCGGCCACACUGGGACUGAGACACGGCCCAGACUCCUACGGGAGGCAGCAGUAGGGAAUCUUCCACAAUGGACGAAAGUCUGAUGGAGCAACGCCGCGUGAGUGAAGAAGGUUUUCGGAUCGUAAAACUCUGUUGUUGGAGAAGAACGUAUUUGAUAGUAACUGAUCAGGUAGUGACGGUAUCCAACCAGAAAGCCACGGCUAACUACGUGCCAGCAGCCGCGGUAAUACGUAGGUGGCAAGCGUUGUCCGGAUUUAUUGGGCGUAAAGCGAGCGCAGGCGGUUUCUUAAGUCUGAUGUGAAAGCCUUCGGCUCAACCGAAGAAGUGCAUCGGAAACUGGGAAACUUGAGUGCAGAAGAGGACAGUGGAACUCCAUGUGUAGCGGUGAAAUGCGUAGAUAUAUGGAAGAACACCAGUGGCGAAGGCGGCUGUCUGGUCUGUAACUGACGCUGAGGCUCGAAAGCAUGGGUAGCAAACAGGAUUAGAUACCCUGGUAGUCC
RNAcentral lists this ribosomal RNA (827 nucleotides) under uncultured bacterium. RNAcentral's name for it is "bacterial SSU rRNA". It matches the Rfam family "Bacterial small subunit ribosomal RNA", at positions 8 to 796 of the family's 1533-position model. The record is from RNAcentral.